Molecule: ribosomal RNA, 1396 nt
Filed under: Ligilactobacillus agilis
Lineage: Bacteria; Bacillati; Bacillota; Bacilli; Lactobacillales; Lactobacillaceae
Description: partial 23S ribosomal RNA
Rfam family: Bacterial large subunit ribosomal RNA
Source: RNAcentral
AUGCCUUGGCACUAGGAGCCGAUGAAGGACGUGACUAACUGCGAUAUGCUUCGGGGAGUUGUAAGUAAACUGUGAACCGGAGAUUUCCGAAUGGGGCAACCCAGCAGGCCUAACGGCCUGUUAUCGCUAAGUGAAUUCAUAGCUUAGUUGAAGGUAGACGUGGGGAACUGAAACAUCUAAGUACCCAUAGGAAGAGAAAGAAAUUCGAUUCCCCCAGUAGCGGCGAGCGAAGAGGGAAGAGCCCAAACCGAGAAGCUUGCUUCUCGGGGUUGUAGGACUGGACUUUAGAGUUACCAAGAGAUUUGAUAGUUGAAUGAUUUGGGAAAAUCAGCCAGAGAAGGUGAGAGCCCUGUAAACGAAAUUAAAUCUCCUCUGUCCAGGAUCCUGAGUACGGCGGAACACGUGAAACUCCGUCGGAAUCCGGGAGGACCAUCUCCCAAGGCUAAAUACUACCUAGUGACCGAUAGUGAACCAGUACCGUGAGGGAAAGGUGAAAAGCACCCCGGGAGGGGAGUGAAAGAGUUCCUGAAACCAUGUGCCUACAAGUAGUUAGAGCCCGUUAAUGGGUGAUAGCGUGCCUUUUGUAGAAUGAACCGGCGAGUUACGUUAGCAUGCGAGGUUAAGGGGGAAAGCCCGGAGCCGAAGCGAAAGCGAGUCUGAAUAGGGCGCUUUAGUAUGUUGACGUAAACCCGAAACCAGGUGACCUACCCAUGUCCAGGUUGAAGGUGCGGUAAAACGCACUGGAGGACCGAACCCGUGUAUGUUGAAAAAUGCUGGGAUGAGGUGUGGGUAGAGGUGAAAUUCCAAACGAACUUGGAGAUAGCUGGUUCUCUCCGAAAUAGCUUUAGGGCUAGCCUCGGAGUAAAGGAUAGUGGAGGUAGAGCACUGUUUGGACUAGGGGCCCGUCUUGGGUUACUGAAUUCAGAUAAACUCCGAAUGCCACAUAUCUAUAUCCGGGAGUCAGACUGCGAGUGAUAAGAUCCGUAGUCGAAAGGGAAACAGCCCAGACCACCAAUUAAGGUCCCUAAAUAUGUGUUAAGUGGAAAAGGAUGUGGAAUUGCACAGACAACUAGGAUGUUGGCUUAGAAGCAGCCACCAUUUAAAGAGUGCGUAAUAGCUCACUAGUCGAGUGAUCCUGCGCCGAAAAUGUAACGGGGCUAAACACAUUACCGAAAUUGUGGAUGUGUCCGUAAGGACACGUGGUAGGAGAGCGUUCUAAGGGCGGUGAAGUCAGACCGUAAGGACUGGUGGAGCGCUUAGAAGUGAGAAUGCCGGUAUGAGUAGCGAAAGGUAGGUGAGAAUCCUACCCACCGUAUGACUAAGGUUUCCUGGGGAAGGCUCGUCCUCCCAGGGUUAGUCGGGACCUAAGCCGAGGCCGAGAGGCGUAGGCGAUGGA